This 1171-nucleotide long non-coding RNA is filed under the name Lupinus angustifolius (narrow-leaved blue lupine). RNAcentral's name for it is "long non-coding RNA (LANG_LNC001638)". The record is from RNAcentral. Lineage: Eukaryota; Viridiplantae; Streptophyta; Magnoliopsida; Fabales; Fabaceae.
CCAGUCAUACUCGGACUAUCCCCUUAUCCGAGAACUGUUCCAACCCAGUCAUAAUCGGGUCAUCCCCCACUAACCUCAAAGAGUCUACUAGUAUGGUCAUCUUUGACCAACAUAAUAAUCUAGGUGCAACUGUUCCAGCCCGGUCCUACCCGGGCUGUCCUCCUUCUAUUCCGAGUAUCGUGUGCAACAUUCUGUAUAUCUCAAUUAUUUGUCGGGUCCACUUGUGCCAGAUGCCAUAAAUGCUCCUGAUGCAACAUCAAUGUCUUUGACACACUAUUUAAUGCACCAAUAACAUGCUAUUUAAUGCACAUUUGACAUAUCAUUUAAUGCGUUGCUGACUCGCCAUCAAUGUCAUACAACAAAUCACAUGUCACGCCGUCUGCACAUUCUGCCUACCCCUAUAAUUCGAUAAGAGCGGGUCAAGCAAAGACGACCAGAGUACAUUCCUUCUACCCAUGAAAUGCUGGCCAAUGACCAUAUGUCAUCUCAUCAUUUCCUAAACUCUAUAAAUAGAAGAUGUCACAAGUGUAGUAUAAUUAAUUUCUCAUUCUCUCAUUUAUUGCUUCAACUUCUCUCUUAUUUACCACCUUUAUUUCUCUAGAAUACUCAACUAACUUGAUCGCCGAAGAACUUUUUCAAGUACCUCCCCCGACGGGUUCAGACAAUAUUCCAACCAGAUCUUCUGAUCUUUCACCUUCAAUCGGGCACUCAACAUCUACCACUCUACAUCAAUUAAUGAUUGUUCCCUCUUAGUACAAAAGAACACCCAUAAUGAGAACCGGAGACUGAAUAAGCGUUAAUCUAUGUCAGAAAAGUGGCCCAAAGUUAACAUUGAUCGGAAUAAAACUAAUAUUUAUAACUUGGAGCAAGCAACUCUUGUACUUGUUUCACUAUUUCAGAAAGCUUUUGGAUUAUGACAGCCCAAUGCCUAAUAAUGAAUUGCUAAACCUCAAAUCAGUCACACUUGAGGGCAAUAGAACAAAAACCCCUCUCUCAAGUUAUGAGAAGAACUUGCUUCCGUUGCGAUAAAUUUUACUUCAAUGGUAUAUCAGCCCCAAAACUCAAAAAGGAACUCAAUUGUGAGACCACUUUAUAAUCGUGGAUCACACCAUCAUCACCCAUAACAUUUGCUCCCCUGUAAAUUUUAAAAGUUUUUUGAUAUAAGAGAAAG